AGUGAACGCUGGCGGUAGGCCUAACACAUGCAAGUCGAACGGCAGCACAGUAAGAGCUUGCUCUUACGGGUGGCGAGUGGCGGACGGGUGAGGAAUACAUCGGAAUCUACUUUUUCGUGGGGGAUAACGUAGGCAAACUUACGCUAAUACCGCAUACGACCUACGGGUGAAAGCAGGGGAUCUUCGGACCUUGCGCGAUUGAAUGAGCCGAUGUCGGAUUAGCUAGUUGGCGGGGUAAAGGCCCACCAAGGCGACGAUCCGUAGCUGGUCUGAGAGGAUGAUCAGCCACACUGGAACUGAGACACGGUCCAGACUCCUACGGGAGGCAGCAGUGGGGAAUAUUGGACAACGGGCGCAAGCCUGAUCCAGCCAUACCGCGUGGGUGAAGAAGGCCUUCGGGUUGUAAAGCCCUUUUGUUGGGAAAGAAAAGCAGCAGGUUAAUACCCCGCUGUUCUGACGGUACCCAAAGAAUAAGCACCGGCUAACUUCGUG
This 492-nucleotide ribosomal RNA is filed under the name uncultured bacterium. RNAcentral's name for it is "partial 16S ribosomal RNA". It matches the Rfam family "Bacterial small subunit ribosomal RNA", at positions 29 to 507 of the family's 1533-position model. The record is from RNAcentral.